This 388-nucleotide ribosomal RNA is filed under the name uncultured bacterium. Its description in RNAcentral is "bacterial SSU rRNA". It matches the Rfam family "Bacterial small subunit ribosomal RNA", at positions 29 to 412 of the family's 1533-position model. The record is from RNAcentral.
AGCGAACGUUAGCGGCGCGCCUAACACAUGCAAGUCGCACGAGGUAGCAAUACCUAGUGGCGCACGGGUNCGUAACACGUAGAUAAUCUGCCCUUCAGCGGGGGAUAACGUUCCGAAAGGAGCGCUAAUACCGCAUACAGCAUUUGGUGGUUCGCCACUGGAUGGCAAAGGCUGGGAUCUUCGGACCAGUCACUGAAGGAGGAGUCUGCGGCCCAUCAGCUAGUUGGGGAGGUAAUGGCUCACCAAGGCAAAGACGGGUAGCUGGUCUGAGAGGAUGAUCAGCCACACUGGUACUGGAACACGGACCAGGACUCCUACGGGAGGCAGCAGUGGGGAAUCUUGGUCAAUGGGCGCAAGCCUGAACCAGCGACGCCGCGUGAGUGAUGAA